Molecule: RNA transcript, 4253 nt
Organism: Globicephala melas (long-finned pilot whale)
Lineage: Eukaryota; Metazoa; Chordata; Mammalia; Artiodactyla; Delphinidae
Gene: ITGB3BP
Gene name: integrin subunit beta 3 binding protein
Source: RefSeq, a predicted model, not a curated record
GUGUCCUGCGUUGCCCUGGCAGGGACAGAGAGCGGUCCUAGGCGUAGACUCUCCUCCCCCCUUCCCGGCAUACACUGGGAUCCCUUGUAGCUGGGGGAGUGUUUCCGGCGGGCCGCGUGGAGUGUGGCACAGCGUAGAGUGACCGUUCGCCCGCGCUUUUCAGGCUUCAGUGUUUCUCUCCGAAGGUUCUCUGUUUUCGUAAGAGGUUGCUCAGUGGUUUUAUCCAGCGACACGGGUGCGUCCCUGAAUUUCGAAAUGCCUGUUAAAAGAUCACUGAAAUUGGAUGAUCUGUUAAAAGCAAAUUCAUUUGAUUCUUCAAAAAUCACAAGGAAGAUAAGUGUUACAGCCUAUUCUCCAACAACUGGAACCUGUCAAAUUAGCCCAUUUGCUUCUCCCACAAGCUCUAAAGAACAAGAGAACAAAAAUGGACCAUCAGAUGGAAAGAGGAAAAACUGGAAUCACCUCAGUAUAACCAAAAGAAAGGAAUCUACUACAGAAGACAAUGAUGACUGUAUCUUCUGUGUGCCAUACAAUAUGAUGGAUGGAUGGGUAAAGAUGAGGAAAAUGAAACAUCUACCCAUUGGGAGCUUAUGGUCUCAUGUUUUCUCCCCUCAGAAUAUAUCUGAGGAACUUUAUGGAGAAAAGGAAAAUGAUGAAGCUAAAUUUGAAGAUUCAUGGUGUUGCUAUCUAAAGUUGAGAAAUCAUCAGACGAAUUCAUGGAAAUAAUGCAAAAUUUAAGUAAUAUACAGGCUUUGGAGGACAGUAGAGAGCUUGAAAAUCUCAUUGGUAUCUCCCAUACAUCAGGUGUCUUAAAAAGAGAAAUGCAGAAAACAAAAGACCUACGUAAGAGAAAUUUAUGAGUUUUUGAUCGUGUCUCUCUAUUACUUGUUUGCAAACUUAGAACAGGAAGCCACAUAUCUUUUGCCAGGAUAUGUUAUUUCAGGGAUUCUUCUUGAAUGUGAAGGGAAAGAAUGUACCUUGGUAACUGGUAUUAGGCUUUUUUUUAAUGCAGUUCUCAUUCUUUACAAAAGAUAUAAGGUAUUGCAUUUUAUACUUGAUAUUUAUAAGUAUGUAUUGCUUGAAAUUAUUUCUUAUGAAGUUUCUUCCAAAAUGAGAAAUUAUUUAAUAUUCUGUAUUAAUUUUUAAUGUGAGAUUUUUUUUCCUUUAGUGACAAAAGUAACAAAACAAAAACUAUUUGAAAAGAAGAAUUCAGGACUUCCCAACAAAGGCAUUUAGAAGAAAUGCACUCACUAUGAAAACGCCAACUUCUGUAUCUGCCUGAUCAUAUUUAAAGGAACAGAAGAAAUGUUUGUAAUUAAUCUGCCCAAUAAAUACCAGAUCAUAGCACAGGCAGGUGCAUGUCUAGAUAAAAUUUCUUGCAGCUAAUUUAAACUUUCUACACGCACCAGCAGAUAAUCUCAACGUAAAUAAUACAUUUCUUCUUGACCCUUUAAAGUAAGUCAACAUGUAGAAGAGGAUCUUGACUUAUAUUUUGUAUCUCAUAUGCUUCUAUAUACUUUUAGCAUUUGUGGAUACACUUAAUAAAGCAUUAAUAAAAAUGGCACCUUUGGUAGAGCUAUAUAUUUUAAAACUCAGAUUAAAUCUAAUAGUGGUAUUAGGUACCAGUUUUCCCAUUUAAAGCUCCAGAUGUGUAUUUAUUAGAUUCUUUUGAAAGCUUUUAAAAUUUAUAAGUUUAUUUUAGCUAUCUCAGGGAUGAGUCUUCAUUAUAUUCUAGUUAUUCUUAUGCUUGUAGAGAAAAAGUAUUUUCAAACUUUUAAAAUUUCCACAUCUCCUUUUAUAAAAUAUUGGAAUGUAUUUUUCAGUAUAGACUUUUAAAUAUGAAGUUGUUUUUAAACUGAACUACACAGACUCUACUGAAUUUAAAGAAAAGACAUAUCUCAUGGAGCAAUAUGAGAUCCCCUCCAAAUUACUUUGAAGCAUUAUUUUAAAUUUUUAAUUUUCUAGUUUUUUUGGUAUCAUUUGUGCUGUCACAAAAUAAAGGGGAAGAGAGAAUCACAGAAUUGAUAGCACAUUUUUUUAAACCUUAUAUACUUUUCUUUGACCAUUUCCACAGGGAAAAAAAAUGCUAUUCCCUUGUAUUGUAUCUUAUACAAAUUGUCUUGACAAAAUUUGUGUAAGGUAUUACCAUGUCAUUUAAUUCACUGUAUCGUGAAAAUAAAAAUACUAUGAAAAAUUUGAAACAAAAUUUUUAACAAAUUAAGGUUGAAAAUAACUAAUUUUCCAUUUACAGAAAUUUCAGAUUCACCUCUUAAAAUGAAAAUGAGUUAUUUUUUAAAAACUAUUCAUUGAAAUGAUACUAAACAGUAACUCAAUAAAACUAAUUGCCUUCACUAGUGAUUUUAUUGGUACUACUUAAAUAAGGUUUUUAGAGAAUCUGCUAAUUAAGGAUACUUUGUGAUACAGUGCUAAUAGAACAUUGCCUAAAAUAUACCAAAAAGGAUAAUUCCUUUGUGUUCUACCAUUCAAAACUUACCUUAGAAUGUAAGCCAAAACAUAUAAAGAAACCUACAUUAGUCAGGAAAUAAAGGGUUAAGAAGUAGAUUGGUUUCCUGUGUAAUCCAAGUUAUGUAGCUAUUUGCUUAAUGCUAUUAAAUCAGUUACUGUAUGUUUGACCUCUUGAUAUACUAAGCUUUUGCCUUUCAGAACAGCUGGGUCGGCUAAGAAUCCCUUCCCAGUUCUGUUCAUUGUAGAUCAGAUGACUCUCGCUUUAUCACCCUUGGAGGCCACAUGAAGGACAAAGCAGAAAGAUCCACACACAAAACUAAUGUUUAUAUGGGCAGGGGGGCGGGGGGGGGCAGAAGGCGUGGGAUACACUUGGCCCUGAUCUUCCAAUGACCAUAACAGAAGAGAGAGACCAAUUGAGACUUGAAACCAUUAUGUUACUCCAACCAUUAUUUAGUUACAUCCUAUCCAUCUCUUACUCUCUUUCCCUUGAACAGAGAGGCUCCUUUGGCUGCCUUGACUUUUGUAAAUGUUUCACUCACUUAGUUGUGGUUUAUCAUUUGGACAGAAUGCUACAUCGGGGAUUUUUCUCCCCUCCCUAAGGCUUCAAGACAAAAUGACUUCUGUUGCCUCAUUUGAUACAUGAACAUACACCCUGUUCUCUUCAUUUUAAGACGCAUACCUAAGUUUAUUGGCAACAAAGAAAACUGCAUUUUUCAGAAACAGCCCUUCCCUCUAAAAUGAACUGGAAAAUAACUUAGAUCAUUUUUUGACAGGUAUAUCAGUGAAUAAAGUGAGAAGUCUUUAAUUUUUUUGUAUAAGCUAAAUAUCUUUAUAUUAAAAUAUCCCUGUAAUCCUGAAUAUAGCUGAGAGAAAUGCUUUGGAAUUGCCUAUUUCUGAUCUUAAUUCAUCACUGGACAUUUUUGUUAUUUUGGUACUUAAUCCCUCAAAGUUCAAAGUGGACUGUUCUUAAACCGGUUUCUAAUAGAUAUGAGAUCCUUGACUUAUGAGAUAAUUGCUACAAGUCUCCAUUAAAGCUACAGUGUAACUCCAUAUGACUAGAUUAAAUCAUCUGGAAAUGUAUUUUUAUUUAGAAUUCACCUAUAAGAUACCUUGAAUAUGGGUGCAUUCUAUUUUACUAAUGUUUAAAUAAUACUUUCAUUUGCAAAUAAUGUUUCUCUACUCCAACUAUUUAGAAGUUGUCAGAACUUCCUCAUCAUUGAAUUAAAUCAACACCCUGUAUUAAAUGCAAGUUUUCUAUUACAAAAAAUAAAAAAGACUACACCAGCCAGCCAAGAUGCUGACAUUUGGGCACAGUGAUUACAGAUGGUGACCAUGGACAGCGAUGUUCCUGCUGAUUCGGCAGCGAUUCAAGGCUGCUUUUCUGUGCUGACCUGCCCUUUGAGUCUUUAUGCACAUUUGCUUUGAGAAGGAAAUACUUCUUGAUUUUUUGCUUUGUCUAAACCCACUUCCUUUAUCAGACUUACAUAUACCUUGUUGCAUCAGCCUGUAGGUGUCCGUGUCUAGAACCAAAUUUUCUUUGUGUAUAUGUGUUUGGCUUGCAUUGUUUUAAAAUAUACCACCACUUAGUUAGUUAUUAUGCUUUAAUGGCUUAUUAAAGAAAUAUAUUCAUUAAAAACAUGGGUUGAUGGGGAAAUGGUUAUUUUUAUUACAGAGACUGAAGAAAACAUAUCUUUACAUGAGAAUCUACAACAUGGCUACAAUAAAUUAUUUUUACCAACUGAAUACUAUAGUAAAGAUGGGCUUCUUCUGAUAUAGAGGGAUAUAGU